This 482-nucleotide ribosomal RNA is filed under the name uncultured Flavobacteriaceae bacterium. RNAcentral describes it as "bacterial SSU rRNA". It matches the Rfam family "Bacterial small subunit ribosomal RNA", at positions 28 to 505 of the family's 1533-position model. The record is from RNAcentral. Lineage: Bacteria; Pseudomonadati; Bacteroidota; Flavobacteriia; Flavobacteriales; Flavobacteriaceae.
GAUGAACGCUAGCGGCAGGCUUAACACAUGCAAGUCGAGGGGUAACAGAGUAGCUUGCUAUUGCUGACGACCGGCGCACGGGUGCGUAACGCGUAUGAAAUCUACCUAUAACUAAGGGAUAGCCCAGAGAAAUUUGGAUUAAUACCUUAUAGUAUUUAUUAAUGGCAUCGUUUAUGAAUUAAAGAUUUAUUGGUUAUAGAUGAUCAUGCGUCCUAUUAGCUAGUUGGUAAGGUAAUGGCUUACCAAGGCUACGAUAGGUAGGGGCCCUGAGAGGGGGAUCCCCCACACUGGUACUGAGACACGGACCAGACUCCUACGGGAGGCAGCAGUGAGGAAUAUUGGACAAUGGAGGGAACUCUGAUCCAGCCAUGCCGCGUGCAGGAAGACUGCCCUAUGGGUUGUAAACUGCUUUUAUACAGGAAGAAUAGUUGCUACGUGUAGCAUUACGACGGUACUGUAAGAAUAAGGAUCGGCUAACUCCG